Molecule: transfer RNA, 69 nt
Filed under: Protomyctophum arcticum (Arctic telescope)
Lineage: Eukaryota; Metazoa; Chordata; Actinopteri; Myctophiformes; Myctophidae
Description: tRNA-His
Rfam family: tRNA
About the family: Transfer RNA (tRNA) molecules are approximately 80 nucleotides in length.
Source: RNAcentral
GUAGGCAUAGUUUAACAAAAACGUCAGAUUGUGAUUCUGAUGAUAGAGGCUAAUACCCUCUUGCCCACC